This 62-nucleotide transfer RNA is filed under the name Teredus cylindricus. RNAcentral describes it as "tRNA-Gly". The record is from RNAcentral. Lineage: Eukaryota; Metazoa; Arthropoda; Insecta; Coleoptera; Bothrideridae.
AUUUAUAUAGUAUAACUAUUAUUAUUAACUUCCAAUUAAUAGAUCUAAAUUUAGUAUAAAUA